GUAUUCGCAAGUGACAUUUUCACUCAUCUAAUGACCCAUUUUAACUGUGCCAUGUUCUCCGCUCUCUCGAGUGGAGUGGAAUAAACAGAAUUAAGAGUUAAAGAGGGAUUAAAUGGCAUGCAGAUGGUAUAGAAAGGAAAAGAAAAACAAGGCAAUAAAACAAAAAAGACACGAUGAUAAACAAAAGUUGCAAGGACCAAGAUGGAUCAAUUGACAUGGCAAUGGUGAGAAGUGGAGUAAUAAAAGAUAAAACAAAGGAAGGAUGGGAAGAAGAAAAUACUUAGUUCUUGGGGGGAAGAAAGAACAAGAGAUAUAAUGGGAAUCACCAUGCUUUGGAUGUGGUAUGCCAGUAGACGAGAAGAGGAGCACGAGUCUCUCUUUUAAGAAGCCAGCGGCCCCCUUUCAAAGAGAAGAGAAACCUUUGGUAACCCAUGUAUAUUUCAAAUACCUUUCAUCGCCGAAGUCAAACUUACAAGGGAACAUCACACCCGAUGUGUCUGGGGUUUUGCCGAUGUUUUGUCGUCUGAAGGAGCAUGAAGAGUGGAUGAGGC
RNAcentral lists this long non-coding RNA (551 nucleotides) under Androctonus crassicauda. The record is from RNAcentral. Lineage: Eukaryota; Metazoa; Arthropoda; Arachnida; Scorpiones; Buthidae.